Non-coding RNA from Phrynosoma platyrhinos (Desert horned lizard), 72 nucleotides. The record is from the annotation of a GenBank genome assembly. Lineage: Eukaryota; Metazoa; Chordata; Lepidosauria; Squamata; Phrynosomatidae.
AAAUGCAUGGUAUAGUGGUUUGAGCAUUGGACUGCAACUCUGAAGUCCAGGGUUUGAAUCCCUGCUUGGUCA